Molecule: long non-coding RNA, 1054 nt
Organism: Pan troglodytes (chimpanzee)
Lineage: Eukaryota; Metazoa; Chordata; Mammalia; Primates; Hominidae
Exons: 2
Source: RefSeq, a predicted model, not a curated record
GUUUGUUUCCUCAAAUCCGGUCAUGGGAUUUUUCUCUUCCUCAGAGAGGCAGCGGGAUCCGUUACUUCCAAUUCACCGCUUUCCCAGCACCAUUUCAAAUGCGCUUUGGGGUGAAUGUGGAUUCUUUCAUUCAUUUUAUAUUGUGAGCGACUACUAUGAGCCAGGCUCUGAGCUAAAUGCUAGGAAUGAGAAUACACCCAGCCUUGCAAGAGCAUUUGAAUUGUUGUCGACUGAACACAAAAGUGAGGGUGAGAUUUAUUGCCCUGCCCACCAGGUGAUACUGUCAAUAUGUAGCUGUUUAUCCCUGAAACAGGGGUCCUGGUAAGGAAUGGAAAGGAUGAGACAGAGCAUUUUAUUAUUUUAUUGGCAGAAAGGGAAAAGUUACAGUCAGCCCAGAAGGUGCAUCUUUUGCUAUUUCUAUCAGUUUUCUCUAAUGCUUAUGAUGAUGGAAAUGCAUAGCUCGCUGAGUGGAUGGAAAUUCAGGCUCCAACUAUGGCCAAAACCAAUGACCAGUAACGUGGAAGUAGUCAAGAAUAUACAAAACACAAUGAAGAGACAGAAACACUUUAAAGCAACCAGUUAUUUUAUUCAAUCAUUUCCUGAGCAUGCUGGAUGCAAAGUCCAGGUAUGAUGCUGGGGGUAAGAGACACAGAAAUAAUUAAAGCAGUCCUUAACCUCAACAACUAAAAGUCUGUGAGCAAAGACUGAGACCUGUACAGACUAGCGAUAUAGAACAUAGAGUAUUCUGGCUGGGCGUCGUGGCUCAUGCCUGUAAUCUCAAUGCUUUGGGAGACCAAGGUGGGAGGAUUGCUUGAGCCCAGGCAACAUAGCAAGACUUCAUCUGUAAGAAAAAUGUGCAAAAAUCAGCCAGACAUGGUGGCAUACACCUGUAGUCCCAACUGCUUGGGAGGCUGAGGCAAGAGGAUCACUUGAGCCCAGGAGAUCAAGGCUGCAGUGAACCAUGAUCGCACCACUCCACUCCAGCCUGAGCAACGGAGUGAGACUCUGUCUCUAAAAAAUAUAAUAAUAAUAAUAAAGAGUAUUCUAAGAGUGA